RNAcentral lists this ribosomal RNA (242 nucleotides) under uncultured bacterium. Its description in RNAcentral is "partial 16S ribosomal RNA". It matches the Rfam family "Bacterial small subunit ribosomal RNA", at positions 28 to 275 of the family's 1533-position model. The record is from RNAcentral.
GACGAACGCUGGCGGCGUGCUUAACACAUGCAAGUCGAGCGGAAAGGCCCUUCGGGGUACUCGAGCGGCGAACGGGUGAGUAACACGUGAGCAACCUGCCCCUGACUCUGGGAUAAGCCCGGGAAACUGGGUCUAAUACCGGAUACGACAUCGAUUCGCAUGGGUUGGUGUGGAAAGUUUUUUCGGUCAGGAUGGCGUCGCGGCCUAUCAGCUUGUUGGUGGGGUAGUGGCCUACCAAGGCG